UAGGGAAUCUUCCACAGUGGACGAAAGUCUGAUGGAGCAACGCCGCGUGAGUGAAGAAGGGUUUCGGCUCGUAAAACUCUGUUGUUAAAGAAGAACAUAUCUGAGAGUAACUGUUCAGGUAUUGACGGUAUUUAACCAGAAAGCCACGGCUAACUACUUGCCA
This 163-nucleotide ribosomal RNA is filed under the name uncultured bacterium. RNAcentral's name for it is "partial 16S rRNA". It matches the Rfam family "Bacterial small subunit ribosomal RNA", at positions 355 to 510 of the family's 1533-position model. The record is from RNAcentral.